Molecule: ribosomal RNA, 216 nt
Filed under: Glomeromycotina sp.
Lineage: Eukaryota; Fungi; Glomeromycota
Description: partial small subunit ribosomal RNA
Rfam family: Eukaryotic small subunit ribosomal RNA (bases 40-216)
Source: RNAcentral
GGGUCAGUAGGUUGGUCGUGCCACCGGUACGUACUGGUCUCACUGAUUCCUCCUUCCUGAAGAACCGUAAUGCCAUUAAUUUGGUGUUGCGGGGAAACAGGACUGUUACUUUGAAAAAAUUAGGGUCUUUAAAGCAAGCUAACGCUUGAAUACAUUAGCAUGGAAUAAUGAAAUAGGACGAUCGAUCCUAUUUUGUUGGUUUCUAGGAUUGACGUA